RNAcentral lists this unclassified non-coding RNA (6936 nucleotides) under Hevea brasiliensis (rubber tree). The record is from RNAcentral. Lineage: Eukaryota; Viridiplantae; Streptophyta; Magnoliopsida; Malpighiales; Euphorbiaceae.
UGAUUUCAGUGAGUUUCUUGUAUAAAUACCCCUUGAAAGGCUAUCAUUCUGAUGGCCUGUUGGUCCAGACAAUCUCAAUUUCAAGCGUUCUGGAAGUGCCGUCCUUGUUACUAUCAUGAUUGAGGCUGAAUAAUCCGCUGUAUAUUCCUUCUGUCACUACUUUAUCGAUUUGGAUAGUCACUCUUCCCAAAGUUGUCUUCCCAAAAGUAUUUUUACUUUUGCAUAUAAUGUGUAGUUUUUGUCCUUUCGGUGGCACAUCAAAAGCCCAUGUGAACCCUUCUUUCCAUUCUGGAGAAAUACUGUGGCUUACAACCUGAUAAAUAUAGCAGAUAAUUGUCAUCUGAAAUGCAGCUGCAGCUGCAGCUCAUGCUAAGAAAAUAAACAUAUAAUCACCAUUUUACUUGACCCACAGAGUUGCAGUUUCUGGAUAUAGGAAAUCUCUUCCAAAAUUUUCCAUGAAUUUGGAGUUGUUGAUUUUUGUUGAAAUUUCCCAGAUGUUAAAGGCAAUUAAUGUAUUCAUCUCUUUUAGUACAAUAAAUGAUAUACAAACCAAAAAAAUCACAGAUUGUUUUUCAUUAGAUAUACCCUUUACAGUCAUAAUUCGUGAUAAUUCAUGCAUUACAUUUAAGAUGCUAAUUCCUGAACUUUGAAUUUUAUCAUGUAACAACUAAAAAAAAAAGUUAAAUUUCCAUAAGAACCAUAAUAUGUAAGUACAACAAAAUCUAUAUCAUAAUGAGCAUGCGAACAUAUAAAUAAGAACAUCUAUGGGGCUAUUUCAGUGUGAAUAUUACUAUAAUUAAAGGCCAAAUUUUCAACAAUAUCAUUAUUAUUUUCUUUUCUCUCACAUUCCCAAGAGAAUAUAACUUUAUUUUCCCACACUUUGGGAAGGGGAAGUACUUUCCCAGCAUGUAAUUGCUAGAAGUGACAGUGGGAAGCAUUAUUCCAUAAAGUAACUUUCAUGGGAAUGCAACUUAUCUAUACAUACUGAACAUGUAAGUGUUACAUUCCCACAUCACUGUUCAAAGAAGUUUCAAUAACCAACACACUCUUACAGGAAUCUUCUUAUGACUUCCUUAAUAUUAAAAAAUGAGCACAGGGUACCCCAAAUGCCAUAUGGCAGAUUUAGGUGCAGCUAAAUUAUUAAAAGAACAGUAACAUUCUCAAACCUCUGUCCUCCUAUUGCCUAGCAUCAAUCAUGUAUAACACAUGAAAGGCCAUAAUUACAUACAGUGGAUUUUAUUAAAAUAAAAUGACGCCAUGCCAUCAGCAAAGUAAAUGGUCUGUUUUGCACACAAAACUUCAAAAAGCUCUUACCUUGGUUUGCCGAGGAGGACCACUGCCUAUUGUCAAUUGGCAGAAGGCAUUUGUGCUUCCCACUGUCUGCUUGAGGUUGUUCCCACGCAUAAUGGUAACAGUUAAACAACCUGGUAAGCAGUGCAACAGGAGGUCUGCUCUCUCGUGGAAACUUGGCGGGCAGGUCUUCAUCAGCAUUUGGAGAAUAGGAAUGGCAUCAGCUGCAACCAUUGCUUGAGACUUCGCAAUCUCUACUGACAUGGCUGACCAAGACUGUUUCAACAAGCAGAGGGUGUCCAAUACAGAUUCCUGAGCAGCCUCACUACCUGACUUUAGUGCAUUUAUUAAGCAGGGAAUAGACAAGGUUGCUGCUUCAGAAACAUGGAGCUUAGGAAAGUUGGUGAAAAUGACAUUCAAGGUUCUCAAGAUCUGUACAUUGAUGGUAGCUGUGGACCACAACUCUCUCUCAAGUGCAGCUGUCAAAGACCUGAUAAGCUCAUUUGAAACAUAUUCCUGGAGAGUGUGGUUAGAAAAUAGAAAUCUGAUCAGCAUUGCUGCUUGCCCAACAACAUCAGUACUAGUCGACAAUAGCAGUUCCUGAACUAUUAAUAUGCCACCUGCUUCUGCAACAGCCCUCCUAUUAGUCCGACUAUGCAUGACAAAAUUUUGCAAUGCACAAGUUGCCACCAUGGUCAUUUCUUCAGAUGGCUGAUCUUCAAGCAAGCUUACCAAAGCACGGACUGCUGAAACAGAAUCACUGGCCCUAGCAAGUCCUUCCUGCUGAGAGAGAUCCCCAAUAGCUAGUGCAGCAAGUAGCCUGCAGGUAUCUGAUUUUGUUUGUGGGUCUAAUAGAUACUGUGCUAAAGGUGCAAUAGCAUACUUGGAAACCUUCAUCUCUCGUACCCUGAUAUGAUUAAAUAAAGCUUCAAGUAAUCUUCCUGAUAACUCUUCACACUGACGAGAUCUUAGCAGGUCCAACAAAGCAUCUACAGCACCAGCUUCAGCCAUCUGCUCUGCACUUGAAGCAUCAGUCCUUUCAUGAACAAUUAGAGCAUUAAGAGCCACUUUAAUAGUGCUCUCAAGUGUAGAGUGCAGCAUUCUCACAAGGACAACCAAAGGAACCUUAAAGUAGUACUCUGCAUUGAAGCACAGCACAUUUGAUAAAACCAAACAAGCAGUUUCCCACAGCUCAAGAGGUGGUUGAGGAUCAUCUUGAAUAAUAACCUUUGCAACCUCAAAAAUACCUCCAGCAUCCGCAACCACCUUUGGCCAGCUUGUAGAAAUUUUUUCCAGUGCCUUGAUUGCUGUCUGCUGAAGGUUCAAUAUUCCAAUUCCUGCAAGCCGCACAAGUGGCACAACAGCAUUUUUUGUUGUGAUAUCUUGCUGAAAAUGUUCCUGUGCAAGAAGAUGCGAUAACAAUUCUGUGCCAAGCUGCUGAAUGGCUUGAGAAGGAGAUUCCAGAAAUGUAAUUAAAGGUUCAAUGACCCGGCUGGGAGUAAUAUUUAAUGUUACAAGGCUCUGUGGCUUCUCCAAAAUAUUUACAAGUGCUUGUAAUGCACUGUGCUGUCCCCACAAACCAAAAUCUGACCGAAGCAAAACCAUAAAAAGGGGUUCUACUAUUUUUGCUGCAUCUGAGCUUCUAGCAAUUGCACCACUAUUUGUCAAAAUGCGAAACAAUUCUGCAAUUGCAGAGCAUAAUGAACUGGGGGCAAUAGGGAGUAGCACAAGGCAUUUAUCUAUAACACCUGCUUUGACCAUAUCCAAUUUGCGAGGAGCCCGGUCUUUCCCCAACUUUAUUAAAGCACAGAUGCUACCUUCAAUAAGUCGAAAAUUAGUCCCAGAAACCAAGCCAACAAGAAGAUCCACAAGAAUAUCAUAAGCUGCAGCAAGCUCCACCUGCUGUUCAUCAUCCAACAAUCUCUCAAAAGCACAAACCCCAGCUUCCACAACCAAACUUAUAUUAGACUGCAUAAGAGACAGAAGAGGCUGCAUGCACUCUGAGGCAAUUGGAUCUGCUCUGAAUUUGGCAUUGCUAAACAGAAUAAAGCAAAGCUGUGCAACACAUCUCUUCAAUUCCAAGGAACACGAAGAAGAUAAUAUCUUGCAUAAAGUCUCAAGAGGAUCACCUUCCAUAUCCGUGAAUAGAGCUGCUUUUAAAGUAUUUCCUGAAGUCAGUUUGAUUAAAGCAACAAGAGCCGCCUCUUGCUCACUCUCUGAUGCAGCAUUAAGCAUGUCAAUCAAUGGCUGAACAGCCUGCCAAGCUAAUUCGGAGUCUCUGAUGUUCUCAGCGUCAAAAAGUUCUUGAAGAGCCCUUGCAGCACUAAAUCUAGCAUCCCUUGACCCCAGAUGAAGAACUGCCACAAGUUGAUUCACUGAACUAAGAGCCGCUUCAUAUCGAGUGAUUUCAGGAUUUUGGAACAGGAUUCUUAAGAGUUCAGAAAUAGACGCCUCAGUUGAGUCCUUAGGACUCAACGAAAGAUAUUUUGUCAAAGCAUCCAGAGCUCCAGCUUCUGCCAUUAUCAAUUUAUUUGUAUCACUUCCUUUUGCAACGUGCGUUAAGAGUUGAACAGAAAUUGUGGGGGCACCUGGCCUAUCAGGGAUAGGUCUUAACAGAUCCACCAGCAAUGGAAUACAUUUGCGUGCAGUCGAACCAACUCUCACAUCUUCAAUUUCAAAAAGGCGCUCCAGAAUAAUUUGACCAGGAUUUCGUAACAGAGAAAAUUCUUCUGAUAAAGCAACAAAGUUUGGCAUAUCUGAUUCUAUGUAACCAACUAGAGUUAUUAACCCAGCAACAGCACCUGAAUUUGCAAUGGUGAGAUUUAUUCCCUUACUUCCAUUGCCAACUAGGCUAGCCAUUGCUUGGGCAGCAAAAUAUCUGUCAAUCAUUUCAUCAGAUCUUAGCAAAUGAGCAAGUGAAGGUAUGAUCCGCAUUGUUGUAGGAGACAUAACAACAGUUGCAUCUUGGAAUAAGAUAGCCAGGAGCAAGGCACUAAUCCAUAUACCCUCGGUGUCCUCAAACUCUGCCUGUGGAUUAGAUGUAUAAUUUAAAAGCUUGUCAGACAGAGCUUCAAGUCCACCAGCUUCCAUUACAAUGAGCUUGUUCUUAUUGUGAAAUGAAGAAAUUAUUGAUAGAAGCCACAGGGCAACAGUACCUCCUAAAACAGUGGAUGGAUCAAUAACAUCAAAAUCAUCCCCUUCCUGGAAGGCUGAUCUUUCAAAAUAUCCCCUUGGGGUUCUGACUUCAAUUUCUAAAGAACAACAACUAGAAUUCUGCUUCAUCAUAUCCACUAAAGCAUAUGUGAGUGGCUUUGAAUAACCUGAUAAAUCAAGUGCUUCCAUUGACUGUUGUUUGUGUUCUUUUGCAGCACAUACAAACAAUGCAGUCCCUCCAACUCGCACUUCUAGACUGGAGGAGUUUAUUAUUCUAUUUGCAAGAGAACCAAUUGAACUUGAUCUUGCAAUCAACAGAUCACCUAGAACAACUGGUUGACCGGCACAAAGCCUAGACAAAAUUUCUAUUGCCUUAUCUUGCUGUGAAGGGGAGCCCUCAGCCAAGCAGCAAACUAAAGACUCUAAGCUUGAGGGUACUUCAGCAAAGGCAGUCCAGGGUGGGUAAGUGGCACUCAAACCUUGUUUUGUUUUGGCCAAGAGUGCAACUACUUCUAACACAUCAGCAGCAUCAGUGCCAUUUAAGUCCAAUGCAUUCAAGGAAUCAAGAAUCGCAAGAACAGUAAAACGACACUGAGCAUUUCCCUUGAGAACAUCACCCACUGGGAAAUGCUUUAGUAAUUGAUGAAGGGCUCGUGCUGCAUUCUUCUUGCCUUCUGAAGUUCCUUCCCCAAGGACCCUUGUCAAAGCCGCCACAACAUCUUCUGCCAGAGCUUCAGCAGCAACCUGGAAAUCAGAGAGAAGAUUGGCCAGUGCAGCAACAGCAGUUUCAGCAGCAUCAAUGGAUGAAGUUUUAGCCAACUUAAUUAGAGGUUUAACAUCUCCUUCUGCAAUAUAAGGCAUCUUGAUAGUAGUCUUUUUCUUGGUUGGACGAGACAAGGCACUCAAUGUUCGAGCUAGCUGCGUUGCAACUUGAGUAUUAUUACCAGCUAGAAGCUUCAUGCAAGGAUGCACAACCUCAUCAGCUGCAAGACUAUCACAAAUAUCCUGCCUUGUGCUGAACAAAUCAGCAAGAAUAGAAGCUGCAUACUCUUGGGUUUCUUCAUUUGAAGAGUUCAGAACCUUUAUAAGAGAUUUUAAUGCUUUAUUAGCAGCAGAUCCCCUAUGCACAAUAUCAUUGAGUGAUGCCAUUGUAAGUACAUGGCCCAAAACUCUUAUUAUGUGUGCCUUUGAGCCCAGAGAGUCCCCUAGGAGCAGAGCUAGCAACUGAUUAAUAGUGGCAUGAUCAGCUGAUCGGACAAGGGUUUUAAGUGCCUUAGCUGAUGCUUCUUGACCUUUUGGCCCACCACUUUUAAGAAGCCAUAAGAAUGCUGGGAUGGCUCCUGCACUCUCAACACAGGCCCGGAUAUCUUCACUAUGACAACACAAGUUCCAGAGAACAUGUGCUGCAUCCUCCCGUGCCUUCUGAGAUCCUGUCUCUAGUAAUUGUACCAACGGAGGAAUCCCACCUGCAGCAGUAAUAGCCCACUUGCUGUCAUCAACUUGGUCAGUCAAGAUUGCAAGCAAUCGAACAGCAUACUCCUGAUGCUGCUCACUGGACAAACCCAAUAAUGAUAUGAGUAACUGAAUUCCUUCUCUCUUGCCGAUGGCCUCCCAGAGGCCUAUCCCAUUACGACAUAAGCUGCUUAAAGAAACAAUCAGAUACUCAUGUGCAUCCCCAACAGCCAUUGUGAUAAGCCCAAUAAGAACCUUCUUUGCUUCAGCAUGAUUAAGGGAACUUGAGAGCUGGAUGUUGCCAUACAGGCUUGCCAUUGCCUCAAGGAUACGCUCCUGAAUCAGCUUAGUAUCACGAGGCUUCAGAAGCUUUACCAAUAUAUCCUCUAUCUUUGUUGCAUCAAGAGAUUCCCCAUCAACACCAGAAUUCUGUUCAAAGACCAUCAAGGCAUAAGCAAGUGCUCCAAUUAUAUCAGCAAUUGGUGCAGCAAGGCGAGGAGACUGUGACAGUUGUCCAAGAUACAGUAUCAAAGCAGACAUUCCACCAUAGAUAUUUGCUAAAGCUCGGGUUGCAUGGCCCUGCAGAGCCUGAGCAGACUCCCCUUGCAUGCAUUCUUUAGAAGGAGCAACUACAGCCCCAAUGAGCACAUGAACACCAUUUGCAUCUACAACAGCUUGUUUAGCCUUUACUGACUUUGAGGAAACUACCUCCAAAGCGUCAGCAGCACUGGCACGGACUGAAACAUCAUUGUUCUGACCCACAAGCUGAAGCAAAGCUUUGAUGGCCCCAGAAUCAAUUACCUUUGGGAUACUAUCACUGAAAGCCAACAUCAGACGAGCCAUGAGAGAAGCUGCAUUGGAUUGGGCUGCAACAUUAUCAGAGGAUAGAAGACCUACAAUGAUAUCCACUCCCCCAGCCUCAAGAGUUGCUCUCCAGUAAUCAUCUUUGUCACCACAAAGAUUUCUCAAGGCCCCAGUAACAAAACCCUCCACCACUUUGUCCUGCUUGUUCUGUGGAUUGAGCUGAUCCCACAAGGUUGG